This 443-nucleotide ribosomal RNA is filed under the name uncultured bacterium. Its description in RNAcentral is "partial 16S ribosomal RNA". It matches the Rfam family "Bacterial small subunit ribosomal RNA", at positions 338 to 795 of the family's 1533-position model. The record is from RNAcentral.
ACUACGGGGUGCAGCAGUGGGGAAUAUUGGGCAAUGGGCGCAAGCCUGACCCAGCAACGCCGCGUGAAGGAAGAAGGCUUUCGGGUUGUAAACUUCUUUUGUCAGGGACGAAGCAAGUGACGGUACCUGACGAAUAAGCCACGGCUAACUACGUGCCAGCAGCCGCGGUAAUACGUAGGUGGCAAGCGUUAUCCGGAUUUACUGGGUGUAAAGGGCGUGUAGGCGGGGAAGCAAGUCAGAUGUGAAAACCACGGGCUCAACCUGUGGCCUGCAUUUGAAACUGUUUUUCUUGAGUGCUGGAGAGGCAAUCGGAAUUCCGUGUGUAUCGGUGAAAUGCGUAGAUAUACGGAGGAACACCAGUGGCGAAGGCGGAUUGCUGGACAGUAACUGACGCUGAGGCGCGAAAGCGUGGGGAGCAAACAGGAUUAGAUACCCCAGUAGUC